Macrobrachium nipponense is the source of this 439-nucleotide long non-coding RNA. RefSeq lists it as uncharacterized. The record is from RefSeq and is a predicted model, not a curated record. The transcript has 3 exons. NCBI's taxonomy places the organism in Eukaryota, Metazoa, Arthropoda, Malacostraca, Decapoda, Palaemonidae.
UUGAUUAUGUACAUACAUGUUAUAAACCACUGUACGUAUGGUUACUGUAUGUAACUUACUAAACAUACAUAACAUGACUUAACUUUGAUACUUUUUUGGUACAUUCCAGAAAACCAGGACCCCCUCCAUGAUGCAGGCUAUGGGGCCACAUAAAACUUUGUCCAGGGUUACUACAUAACAUAAAGAACCCCCUGAAUGAUGUAGGCUAUGGGGCCACAUAAGACUUUGUGCAUCCAGGGUUACAAAGCAGGACAACUUUAAACUAAAAAGCUACCAGACUGGGAUUUUAGUGUACUCCAGGAUCUACCAAAUACUACUACGAAGUGUACAGUGCAUAAUAUAGUGUUUAGUGUAUAAUCUAACCUAAGGAUUAAGUGUAGUACAUUGUGCUUUAUAGUGUCACAAGAGUUUAAUAAAGAAUUAUACCUUCAAGAACCAU